This 119-nucleotide non-coding RNA is filed under the name unclassified sequences. The record is from Rfam.
UUCGGUACGAGAGUACCGAAUGUAAGCGUGCGGGUAGCUACUCCAACGGCGAGCCGCAUAAGUCCUGUAUGCGCCUGGGCCAUACUAACGGCAGGGCGCCGAUUACACAAUACAAGGAG